UAAAACAACUCCCAGUGUGGGGAAUACCUCAGCUAGGAUUUUUGUCCUGAGAUUUGGCAUUUCUGAUUCCUGUCAUCACUAGAACCAGGGAGCUGAGAGAAGCAUGAAAAUUGGUUUUGGAAAUAGAUGACUUUCCCAAAAUCGGUUGGAUAAAUAGAAUUCAAACAAGUUGGAAGAAAGGUUCCUUUAUGAAAGGUGGUUAAAGGAUAGCAAAG
This 215-nucleotide long non-coding RNA is filed under the name Anser brachyrhynchus (Pink-footed goose). Its description in RNAcentral is "lncRNA (ENSABRG00000011032.1)". The record is from RNAcentral. Lineage: Eukaryota; Metazoa; Chordata; Aves; Anseriformes; Anatidae.